Phoenix dactylifera (date palm) is the source of this 2892-nucleotide RNA transcript. It is a transcript of the gene named U-box domain-containing protein 3, with no coding region annotated. NCBI's taxonomy places the organism in Eukaryota, Viridiplantae, Streptophyta, Magnoliopsida, Arecales, Arecaceae. The record is from RefSeq and is a predicted model, not a curated record.
GACGGGAAAAGGCUGGCCUGGUUUUAAUCUCCCUUCAUAGUUUCCAUCUCUUACGCCGUCACCUGCUUCACCCGCAGGGACAACAAACCCAAUAAAAAAGAGCACUAAAAUAAAACAAAGGUGGGACCUUUCCCCGUCUUUUCUCUCCUCUCUCUCUCUCUCUCCCCCCCCCUGCCCCCCCAACCUUUCUCUCUCUGGAGCUCUGGAGCUCUUAGAUCUUUUAGGGUUUUGAGCAAGGGUUUUAGGACAGGGUCAGGGAUGAUGCAGAGGAAUCCAGCAGCUGGCGGCAUCUACGUGAACGGAGGAGCAAUGGAUGAAAAUGUUAUCGGAGGUCUGAUCAACAGCAUUUCUCGGUUUAUCCAUCUUGUUGGUUGCCAGACUGCAAAAUCUACACUUCUGAAAGACUUCAAAAGUAUAGUUGGCAUAUUGAAGCUCUUGAAGCCCAUACUCCAUGAAGCAUUUGAUUCUCAAAUACCUUCAGACGAACACCUCAUAAAAGCAUUCGAGGAAUUAGAUGUAGCUGUUAAUGAGGCUAGAGAAUUUAUGGAGAAACAACACCAGAGGGUGGGCAGGAUAUAUAGUGUUUUACAAAGUGAGCCAAUGGUGUUGAAGGUUCAGAAGUCAUCUAUAGAGAUAUGUCAUGUCUUGAGUGAAUUGUUACAAUCAUCUCAUUAUACUUCUUAUUUAGCAAGCAUCCAGCACUGCUUGCAGGAACUUCAAUGCAUGCAGCAGGACCUAACAUCGGAACUCAUUGAAAAUGCUCUGAAAGAUCAAAGAGAUUAUGUCAUACCCAGUCUAGAAGAUAUUAUAAAGAUCAUGGAUACACUUGGUUUGGCAUCAAACCAGGAACUCCUGAUGGAAAGUAUAGCUCUGGAGAAGGAGAGAGCAAAGGCUGAGCUCAAAGAAAAGACUGAGGAUGCAGACCACAUAAGUCAGAUAAUUGCACUAGUUGUUCACAUGCGUUAUUGCGUCGCAAAACUUGAGCAGUUUGGGUUUAUAAAUGGGCUACCCAUCCCUUCACAUUUUCGUUGCCCUCUCUCUUUGCAACUCAUGCUGGAUCCCGUAAUUGUGGCCUCAGGUCAAACAUAUGAAAGAUCUUUUAUACAGAAGUGGCUGGAUAGUGGCCUGAGAAUUUGUCCCAGGACGCAUCAAAUCCUCUCCCAUACAAAUCUUAUACCAAAUUUCACGGUCAAGGAGUUGAUUGCAAAUUGGUGUGAACACAACAACAUAAGGUUAAGCAAUUCUGUUCAAUCUGAUUGUAUCUCAAAUCCCUUCUUAUCUAAUGCAAUGCUGGAAGACUUCAGGCCUGAGAAUAAUUUACAUGGUUCACUGCAUAGAGAUUCGACCUCCACACCCUCUUUUGAAUGUGUAAAUCAAACAGAACAGCAAAUUACUGAGGUGUCAUCUGGAUGUGGUGAAGAGUCUUCCCUUAUUAGCCACCAUCAGAAAUUGGCAGGUAAGGUUACUAUGCAAGGCAAUCUGUCGCAUGAACAGCAGUGUAGCUGUCAUAGUCAUAGUGAAUCCAUCUCAAGUGUUGUUUCUAGCAUUGAAAUAUCGAGUAGGUUCAAUGAAAAAGUCAGUCUUUUGGGAGAAGUCCCGCAUCCUUCAUCUUCUCCAUUGAAUAAAGAUAUGGGGUUUUCCCCGCGAUUUUCCCCACCCGAACUUUCUGGCUUCAGGAAUGGACAUGCAAAUAUUUGCGCAAGUCAGUUGUCGCUCCCUAGAUCAGGAUCAGAUGAGCUUACCACCUCUUCCCAUGUUCAGAAAUUAAUCGAGGAUCUGAAGAGUCAAGCUCCUGAAGUGCAGACAGCUGCUGCAUCAGAGCUGAGACUUCUUGCAAAGCAUAACAUGGAAAACCGUGUUCUAAUUGCAAAAUAUGGGGCUAUCCCUCCACUAGUUUCCUUGCUAUAUUCCAAGGUAAAAAGGGUACAGGAAAUUGCUGUUACCGCUCUGCUGAAUUUGUCCCUUAAUGAUAAUAAUAAGGUUUCCAUAGCAGAGGCAGGAGCUAUUGAACCACUUAUCUAUGUUCUGGAAUGUGGAAGCACAGAAGCCAAAGAGAACUCAGCAGCUGCUUUGUUCAGCCUCUCAAUUCUGGAGGACUACAAAGUUAAGAUUGGACGUUCUGGUGCAAUUAAGGCAUUAGUUAAUCUUUUAGGUUCUGGAAGCCUUAGAGGAAAGAAAGAUGCUGCUACUGCCUUAUUCAAUCUGUCAAUCUUCCAUGAGAACAAGGCACGGAUAGUCCAAGCUGGUGCAGUUAGGUAUCUUGUUGAGCUGAUGGAUCCUAGCACAGGAAUGGCGGACAAAUCAGUGGCACUAUUGGCUAAUCUUUCUACAGUUCCUGAGGGCCGCUUGGCUGUCAGCCAAGAAGGUGGCAUUCCCCUGCUAGUUGAGAUUGUUGAGACAGGUUCUCAAAGGGGAAAGGAGAAUGCAGCAUCUGCUUUGUUGCAACUCUGCCUCCACAGCCACAAAUUCUGCAGCCUGGUCUUGCAAGAAGGAGCUGUGCCACCUCUUAUUGCAUUGUCUCAAUUUGGAACACCCAGAGCCAAAGAAAAGGCACAACAGAUCCUUGGUCACUUCCGAAGUCAGCGUGAGGGGAUGGUGCGCAAACCGUAGUAAUGAUUUCUUCUAUCUGGCUUGCGGUUUAUAAUUAGCACAGGAUGAAGCCGAUACAAGGGGAAGCUGAAAGGAUGCAGAGCAAACAUGGGAAUACCGAACCUGUUGUCUUGCAAAACUAGAAAGCAUCAUUUUCGAAAUGGGCAGAUGAAAUGUUGGAGCUAUAGUAGCAGCGAAGAAGGUGGUGGAAGACCAGCUGAUGUCUCCGAAGUAGGCAAUGGAGAUCUGGAAGUUUGCUUUCGAGGAUAAAAGUAGAGAGUGAAAUAUCUUGGUGUAAACUCA